Bombina bombina (fire-bellied toad) is the source of this 342-nucleotide long non-coding RNA. RefSeq lists it as uncharacterized. The record is from RefSeq and is a predicted model, not a curated record. The transcript has 3 exons. Lineage: Eukaryota; Metazoa; Chordata; Amphibia; Anura; Bombinatoridae.
UCAUUAACUGUGUUUUUCUUCCGAGUAGCAGCAGCCUGCAUAGCAGGCAAUCACUGAGCUGACUAGCAGGUGUGUCCAGUGUGUGUGGAAUACAAGGCGAAAUCGACACGGACAGGAUCGCAUACCACACACAUUGAUAUUUACCCUUCCUGCGGUUUGCACUGUAUGUGAAUACAUUAUCUUGUGAUAAAGGAGAUGGCUGAUCGCUCCUCAGGGGCGGAGGUGAUGAGUGGCGCAGUUGUGUCGGUGAGAAGCCGUCAGUUGUCGCCAAGAUUGAGCAAGGGGAGGAGCCGUGUGUACAAGGGCGCCAAAGACGUACGGAGGAAGCGCUUAUGAAUACCA